GUUGAUCCUGCGGGAGGCUUCUGCUAUUGGAAUUCUGAUUAGGCAUGCAAGUUCUGGGGUUCUUCGGAACACCGGCGAAAGGCUUAGUAACACGUCGAUAAUCUGCCUUAUGGUUUAGGAUAGCCUUGGGAAACUGAGGGUAAACCUGAAUAGGAAAAGAAUACUGGAAGGUAUCUUUUCUGAAACUUCGGGCCAUAAGAUGAGUCGGCGGCUGAUUAGGCUGUUGGUGAGGUAAUGGCUCACCAAACCUUUGAUCAGUAGGGGGGAUGAGAGUCCUAGCCCCAAGAAGGGCACUGAGACACUGGCCCUAGCUCCAAGGAGCGCAGCAGCCAGGGAUUCUUUACAAUGCACGAAAGUGUGAUAGGGGGAUUCCAAGUGCUUUACCUCUGGUAAAGCUUUUGCCAAGUGUAAGGAGCUUGGCGAAUAAGUGGUGGGUAAGACUGGUGCCAGCCGCCGCGGUAACACCAGCGCCACGAGUGGAGACCAUUAUUAUUGGGCCUAAAGCGUCCGUAGCAGGUCUGAUAACUCUUUUGUGAAAUUGUCCAGCUUAACUGGACAGCGUGCAAGAGAAACUGUUAGACUUGAGACCAGUAGGAGAUAGGAGAAUGAUAGGGGGAACGGUAAAAUGUGAUAAUCCCUAUUAGACUACCUGUGGCGAAGGCGCCUAUCUAGAAUGGGUCUGACUGUGAGGGACGAAGGCUAGGAGAACGAUCAGGAUUAGAUACCCUAGUAGCCCUAGCUGUAAACGCUGUGAGUUGUGUGUUGCAUAUUCUUCAUGGAUAUGCAGUGCCGAAGGGAAGCCGUUAAACUCACCGCCUGGGAAGUACGGUCGCAAGGCUGAAACUUAAAGGAAUUGGCGGGGGCGCACCACAACGAGUGCGGCGUGCGGUUCAAUUGGAUGAUACACCGAAAUCUCACCAGCAGCGACGGCAGGGUGAAGGUCAGAUUGAAGGUUUUACCUAACGAGCCGAGAGAUAGUGCAUGGCCGUCGUCAGUUCGUGCCGCAAGGUGUCCUGUUAAGUCAGGCAACGAACAAGACCUAUGCUUACAUUUGCCAGCAUUUCCUUUUGGAAGAAUGGGCACAAUGUAAGGACUGCCUUGGAAACAAGGAGGAGGGUGUAGGCAACGAUAGGUCAGUAUGCUUCGAAUCUGCUGGGCUACACGCGCGCAACAAUGGUAAGGACAAUGGGAUACAACUCCGACAGGAGAAGUCAAACCUCUAAACCUUAUCCUAGUCCGGAUUGAGGAUUGAAACUCAUCCUCAUGACGAUGGAAUUCGUAGUAAUCGUUCUUCAUCAGAGAACGGUGAAUAGGUCCCUGUGCCUUGCACACACCGCCCAUCAAGCCAUCCGAGCAUAGUUUAGGUGAGGUGUACUUUAUUGAGUAUAUCGAACCUAGGCUAAGUGAGGCAGGUUAAGUUGUCACAAGGUA
This 1431-nucleotide ribosomal RNA is filed under the name metagenome. RNAcentral describes it as "bacterial SSU rRNA". It matches the Rfam family "Archaeal small subunit ribosomal RNA". The record is from RNAcentral.